AGUGAACGCUGGCGGUAGGCAUAACACAUGCAAGUCGAACGGCAGCACAUUAAGAGUUUGCUCUUACGGGUGGCGAGUGGCGGACGGGUGUGGAAUACAUCGGAAUCUACUUUUUCGUGGGGGAUAACGUAGGGAAACUUUCGCUAAUACCGCAUACGACCUACGGGUGAAAGCAGGGGAUCUUCGGACCUUUCGCGAUUGAAUGAGCCGAAGUCGGAUUAGCUAGUUGGCGGGGUAAAGGCCAACCAAGGCGACGAUCCGUAGCUGGUCUGAGAGGAUGAUCAGCCACACUGGAACUGAGACACGGUCCAGACUCCUACGGGAGGCAGCAGUGGGGAAUAUUGGACAAUGGGCGCAAGCCUGAUCCAGCCAUACCGCGUGGGUGAAGAAGGCCUUCGGGUUGUAAAGCCCUUUUGUUGGGAAAGAAAAGCAGCAGGUUAAUACCCCGCUGUUCUGACGGUACCCAAAGAAUAAGCACCGGCUAACUUCGUG
This 492-nucleotide ribosomal RNA is filed under the name uncultured bacterium. RNAcentral describes it as "partial 16S ribosomal RNA". It matches the Rfam family "Bacterial small subunit ribosomal RNA", at positions 29 to 507 of the family's 1533-position model. The record is from RNAcentral.